RNAcentral lists this unclassified non-coding RNA (741 nucleotides) under uncultured Synechococcus sp. RNAcentral describes it as "partial contains 16S ribosomal RNA and 16S-23S ribosomal RNA intergenic spacer". The stretch from base 1 to 252 matches the Rfam family "Bacterial small subunit ribosomal RNA", at positions 1283 to 1533 of the family's 1533-position model. Lineage: Bacteria; Bacillati; Cyanobacteriota; Cyanophyceae; Synechococcales; Synechococcaceae. The record is from RNAcentral.
GUGGCUCAGUUCAGAUCGUAGGCUGCAACUCGCCUACGUGAAGGCGGAAUCGCUAGUAAUCGCAGGUCAGCAUACUGCGGUGAAUACGUUCCCGGGCCUUGUACACACCGCCCGUCACACCAUGGAAGUUGGCCACGCCCGAAGCCGUUACUCCAACCCUUGUGGAGGAGGACGUCGAAGGUGGGGCUGAUGACUGGGGUGAAGUCGUAACAAGGUAUCCGUACCGGAAGGUGCGGAUGGAUCACCUCCUAACAGGGAGACAACACAAUGAUUUUGAUGCCUGAGUGCUUUUAUUCUUAGGCCGAAAUCCUGUCACCUUAGGUCGAUCGGUACCUCAGCUUUGAAGUCAAGGAUCAGCAGCAAUGUUGAUUGCUUGAUGGAGAUUUUCAGUUCCUAAACUUUGUCUAGGUCACACCCCAAAAGGGAUGAGACUCCUGGGCCAUUAGCUCAGGUGGUUAGAGCGCACCCCUGAUAAGGGUGAGGUCCCUGGUUCAAGUCCAGGAUGGCCCAUUCGGUGUUGGGGGUUUAGCUCAGUUGGUAGAGCGCCUGCUUUGCAAGCAGGAUGUCAGGAGUUCGAGUCUCCUAACCUCCACUGACCGAACUUGAUUCCCAUCUCCAAUUCUUUUGGAGUUGAGCUCGAUUGGAGUGUGAUUUAGAUGUGUCCGCUGGAUGACCCCAGCUUCCUGUCAUUCCAAGUUUUAGGUUGGUGCCUUGAAUUUGGUUGAUAAGAUGCUGGGCUCG